GGGAUUGCCCUAGUAACGGCGAGUGAAGCGGCAACAGCUCAAAUUUGAAAUCUGGCCCUAGGCCCGAGUUGUAAUUUGCAGAGGAUGCUUUUGGCGAAGUGCUUACCGAGUCCCCUGGAAUGGGGCGCCACAGAGGGUGAGAGCCCCGUAUGGUUUGCCACUGAACCUUUGUAAAGCUCCUUCGACGAGUCGAGUAGUUUGGGAAUGCUGCUCUAAAUGGGAGGUAAAUUUCUUCUAAAGCUAAAUACCGGCCAGAGACCGAUAGCGCACAAGUAGAGUGAUCGAAAGAUGAAAAGCACUUUGAAAAGAGGGUUAAAUAGCACGUGAAAUUGUUGAAAGGGAAGCGCUUGUGACCAGACUUGCGCCCGGCGGAUCAUCCAGGGUUCUCCCUGGUGCACUCCGUCGGGCUCAGGCCAGCAUCGGUUUUCGCCGGGGGACAAAGGCUUCGGGAACGUGGCUCUCCUUCGGGAGAGUGUUAUAGCCCGUUGCGUAAUACCCCGGCGGGGACCGAGGACCGCGCUUCGGCAAGGAUGCUGGCGUAAUGGUCAUCAGCGACCCGUCUUGAAACACGGACCGAGGAGUCAAGCAUUAGUGCGAGUGUUUGGGUGUAAAACCCGCACGCGUAAUGAAAGUGAACGUAGGUGAGAGCUUCGGCGCAUCAUCGACCGAUCCUGAUGUUUUCGGAUGGAUUUGAGUAGGAGCAUUAACGCUUGGACCCGAAAGAUGGUGAACUAUACUUGAAUAGGGUGAAGCCAGAGGAAACUCUGGUGGAGGCUCGCAGCGGUUCUGACGUGCAAAUCGAUCGUCAAAUUUG
This 814-nucleotide ribosomal RNA is filed under the name Magnaporthaceae sp. RNAcentral's name for it is "partial large subunit ribosomal RNA". It matches the Rfam family "Eukaryotic large subunit ribosomal RNA", at positions 71 to 913 of the family's 3401-position model. The record is from RNAcentral. Lineage: Eukaryota; Fungi; Ascomycota; Sordariomycetes; Magnaporthales; Magnaporthaceae.